Oryza glumipatula is the source of this 202-nucleotide non-coding RNA. NCBI's taxonomy places the organism in Eukaryota, Viridiplantae, Streptophyta, Magnoliopsida, Poales, Poaceae. The record is from Rfam.
UUUAAAUGUAGCCAUGAGUUUUCGUGUUUAACUUUGAUCGACCGUCUUAUUUAAAUUUUUUUAUGAUUAAUAUUUUUGUUAUUAUUAGAUGAUAAAACAUGAAUAAUGCUUUAUGCGUGACCUAUGUUUUUUAUUUUUUUAAAAAAAAAUUAAAUUGACGAAUAAUUAAAUUUAGACACAGAAACUUAUGUCUGCGCUCAAA